Molecule: ribosomal RNA, 346 nt
Filed under: Salmonella enterica subsp. enterica serovar Agona
Lineage: Bacteria; Pseudomonadati; Pseudomonadota; Gammaproteobacteria; Enterobacterales; Enterobacteriaceae
Description: partial 23S ribosomal RNA
Rfam family: Bacterial large subunit ribosomal RNA
Source: RNAcentral
CGUGAGGGAAAGGCGAAAAGAACCCCGGCGAGGGGAGUGAAAAAGAACCUGAAACCGUGUACGUACAAGCAGUGGGAGCCCCACCACCAAAGCAUUCUCUGGUGUUGAAGGCCCUGCAAAGCAGCAUCGCGGUGGCGGAGCGUCGUUUGCGACGCCCAACACACAAAACAAGCGGUGAGUGCUUUGGGGUGGGGUGACUGCGUACCUUUUGUAUAAUGGGUCAGCGACUUAUAUUCUGUAGCAAGGUUAACCGAAUAGGGGAGCCGUAGGGAAACCGAGUCUUAACCGGGCGUUAAGUUGCAGGGUAUAGACCCGAAACCCGGUGAUCUAGCCAUGGGCAGGUUGA